This 472-nucleotide ribosomal RNA is filed under the name uncultured bacterium. RNAcentral's name for it is "bacterial SSU rRNA". It matches the Rfam family "Bacterial small subunit ribosomal RNA", at positions 28 to 511 of the family's 1533-position model. The record is from RNAcentral.
GACGAACGCUGGCGGCGUGCUUAACAUAUGCAAGUCACGGGGGCUCGCAAGAGCAACCGGCGAACGGGUGCGUAACACGUGAACAACCUGCCCUUGUGUGGGGGAUAGCCGGGCUAACACCCGGGUAAUACCGCAUACGGUCCCUUGGAGGAGUCUCUGGGGGAGGAAAGCUCCGGCGCACGAGGAGGGGUUCGCGGCCUAUCAGCUAGUUGGCGGGGUAACGGCCCACCAAGGCGACGACGGGUAGCUGGUCGAGAGGAUGGCCAGCCACAUUGGGACUGAGAGACGGCCCAGACUCCUACGGGAGGCAGCAGGUGGGGAAUCUUGCGCAAUGGCCGAAAGGCUGACGCAGCGACGCCGCGUGUGGGAUGAAGCAUUUCGGUGUGUAAACCACUGUUGCCCCGGGACGAACAGCCCUUUUCGAGGGGUCUGACGGUACCGGGUGAGGAAGCACCGGCUAACUCCGUGCCAG